GAUGUAAAAUUUUCAUGGUUUGUAGGGGACUGAUGGAGGAUGGUAGAGUUUGAGGAAAAAAGAUUGAACCUAUGGCUGGUAAAAAGUCUGAGAAGAUAGGGUUGGCAUAAAGAAGGGCUAUAGUGUGGAACCUAAGGCUAUAGGGAUUUGGACGUGGGGAAGGCUUGGAGGAAGAAGAGGAUCCCCACAAAGAGGUUGAUGCCAAAGAGAGGAAGAAGUUGUAUGUAUUUAUAGGGAAGAGAGAGUGGGCAUAAGAUGAGAGAGGGCUAGAGUUUUGUAGCGUGUAAGAAUUAAAGGGGGCAUAGGGAGGCAUGUAAGAAAGAAAGGAUGGGACAUG
RNAcentral lists this long non-coding RNA (337 nucleotides) under Elaeis guineensis (African oil palm). RNAcentral describes it as "long non-coding RNA (EGUI_LNC046485)". The record is from RNAcentral. Lineage: Eukaryota; Viridiplantae; Streptophyta; Magnoliopsida; Arecales; Arecaceae.